UGAAACAUGGUUCUUAAACACAACUGUAAUUUUAUGCUUACGGAAUCACAAUCAGAGCAAAUUCUUUAUGGUAAGGUAAAAUAUGGCCAGAUUUUGCUGUCAUUGUAAUUCCAUUACUGGGGAAUUUGCGUGGAGUAAAUAACGGAGGUUACAGUAUAAUUUGCAAUUUUGAAACUAUGAACCAGUUUCUAAACAUUUAAAAUGGCCAUUGAAACAAAAAAAAAAACUGUAAAACUGCCAUCUUGAUGUUAUUGCACAACCUACUGUCAAAACAGUGCACUGCAGCUAUAAAAAAUUGGUUGAAAUAUGAAGGUCAUUUUUCACAGUCGCAGUUGCUGCACAAGUGUGCCUUUACUUUUGGCCAAGACAAAAAAUAACUUUUUUGACAGAAUGAUGAGCAGCCCUAACAUCUCAAAACGUGCUGUCAGUGAUGUACAGAGAAAGAAGCUGAUUGGUUGAAUUUAGAGUUGCAGUCAGUGGCGGGAUGAACAGUGACAAAAUAACAGACAAUAGAGAUGCUUAAUGUUUUCACAAAAUAUCAACAAAAGCAGGUGAAUAUCAGCACAGAGGAAACCCAGGCGAGUGUGUGCGUACACGCAGAUGAGACAUUAAUCUGUGCUAAAUGGCUACUUUCUGGGCUUUUUCCAAACUGUCCGGUAUGCAGUGUUGCCCCCUAGUGGUGAUGUAAAACUAUAGAGGUGUGCAGACACACGUCUGUGCAUGCCAGUUAAGAUGGCACCAACAAACAUUGCUGUUCUGAAAAAAGGCUUUAAGUCAAUGACACGGCUGAUGCGUUGUGAUUGAGCGCUAAGGUAUCUGCUGCUCUCUGACGGUUUGCGUCUGUUUGGAACUGAUGAAAGUUGGCUGUUGAAAGUGUCACCUCUGAGGACACAAACCACCUUACACUAUCACUUAAUGUAACACCACAACCUGCAGCCACAGAAAUGACCACACAGCUGCUGGAUUAACACUUCCGUGCAAGUUUAAAAACAAACACAUCUUGUAAAGCUAGUGUUAUGCGUUUCCUCACCACCUCUAUUAUUGCAUAAAAUUAUCACUGUUUUGUUGAGCUGUUUUGAUUGAUCAGUUUCAUUUGUGUCUUUAUAAUAAGUUAUUGAUUGUUACACCUGGCAGGUUGUUCUGCCUGGAGUUGAAGAAAUACAAACACAGAGUGUUAGAUAUUUUGGGAGGAUAUUUAGGGGGGAAAAACAAAUGGAAUGUAUGUGUUUUCCAUUUGUCCUUCUGUGCUCUGAUAUUUGUGCUUAGAGAAGAACGUUGUCUGUGUUUGGGAACACUGGACAUAUUGUUCUGUAAUGUAACGUAUUGACUUGAUUUUCAUGUUUAUUUCCCGAACUGUUUUCUGAGGAAAUGAUUAU
Molecule: long non-coding RNA, 1376 nt
Organism: Thalassophryne amazonica
Lineage: Eukaryota; Metazoa; Chordata; Actinopteri; Batrachoidiformes; Batrachoididae
Exons: 5
Source: RefSeq, a predicted model, not a curated record